This 253-nucleotide ribosomal RNA is filed under the name uncultured prokaryote. Its description in RNAcentral is "partial 16S ribosomal RNA". It matches the Rfam family "Bacterial small subunit ribosomal RNA", at positions 525 to 777 of the family's 1533-position model. The record is from RNAcentral.
ACGAAGGGGGCUAGCGUUGUUCGGAAUUACUGGGCGUAAAGCGCACGUAGGCGGACUUGUCAGUCAGGGGUGAAAUCCCGAGGCUUAACCUCGGAACUGCCUUUGAUACUGCAAGUCUUGAGGAUGAGAGAGGUAAGUGGAACUGCGAGUGUAGAGGUGAAAUUCGUAGAUAUUCGCAGGAACACCAGUGGCGAAGGCGGCUUACUGGCUCAUUUCUGACGCUGAGGUGCGAAAGCGUGGGGAGCAAACAGGA